This is a long non-coding RNA of Myotis brandtii (Brandt's bat), 276 nucleotides long. RefSeq lists it as uncharacterized. The transcript has 3 exons. Lineage: Eukaryota; Metazoa; Chordata; Mammalia; Chiroptera; Vespertilionidae. The record is from RefSeq and is a predicted model, not a curated record.
AAGAACAGCAAACUGAGGCUCAGGGUAGUCGAGUGCCUUGCCCAUGGUCACACAGCAGGUGAACUCUGGAGCCAGGUGUUGAUCCCAUCCACUGAGCUGCAGUUGGCACGAAGUUCCAAAUAUAUAUACAAAUUUGGAGGCAUGAAAAUGAUAACUGGAAACUAGUCUGUGCCCACAGCCAUCAUCCUAUGUGGAGUAUACAGCGAAGAAGAAGGUUUCAUUGAAUGACAGUGUCCUUCAGAAUACGACUUAACAGAAACCCCAACUCAGGAGGCC